AGUCAUAUGCUUGUCUCAAAGAUUAAGCCAUGCAUGUCUCAGUACAAGCCGAAUUAAGGUGAAACCGCGAAAGGCUCAUUAAAUCAGUUAUGGUUCCUUAGAUCGUACCCACAUUUACUCGGAUAACUGUGGUAAUUCUAGAGCUAAUACGUGCAAACAGAGCUCCGACCGGAGACGGGAGGAGUGCUUUUAUUAGAUCAAAACCAAUCGGCGGCGGUGGCGCUCGCGCCGCCGUUCGCCGCUCAACCUGGUGACUCUGAAUAACUUUCCGCUGAUCGCACGGUCUCGCACCGGCGACGCAUCUUUCAAAUGUCUGCCUUAUCAACUGUCGAUGGUAGGUUCUGCGCCUACCAUGGUCGUAACGGGUAACGGGGAAUCAGGGUUCGAUUCCGGAGAGGGAGCCUGAGAAACGGCUACCACAUCCAAGGAAGGCAGCAGGCGCGCAAAUUACCCACUCCCGGCACGGGGAGGUAGUGACGAAAAAUAACGAUACGGGACUCAUCCGAGGCCCCGUAAUCGGAAUGAGUACACUUUAAAUCCUUUAACGAGGAUCAAUUGGAGGGCAAGUCUGGUGCCAGCAGCCGCGGUAACUCCAGCUCCAAUAGCGUAU
RNAcentral lists this ribosomal RNA (610 nucleotides) under Herophydrus guineensis. RNAcentral describes it as "SSU rRNA". It matches the Rfam family "Eukaryotic small subunit ribosomal RNA", at positions 22 to 602 of the family's 1831-position model. The record is from RNAcentral. Lineage: Eukaryota; Metazoa; Arthropoda; Insecta; Coleoptera; Dytiscidae.